GAUGAACGCUGGCGGCGUGCCUAAUACAUGCAAGUCGAGCGAACAGACGCGGAGCUUGCUCCUUUGACGUUAGCGGCGGACGGGUGAGUAACACGUGUGUAACCUACCUAUAAGACUGGGAUAACUUCGGGAAACCGGAGCUAAUACCGGAUAAUAUUUCGAACCGCAUGGUUCGAUAGUGAAAGAUGGCUUUGCUAUCACUUAUAGAUGGACCUGCGCCGUAUUAGCUAGUUGGUAAGGUAACGGCUUACCAAGGCAACGAUACGUAGCCGACCUGAGAGGGUGAUCGGCCACACUGGAACUGAGACACGGUCCAGACUCCUAGGGGAGGCAGCAGUAGGGAAUCUUCCGCAAUGGGCGAAAGCCUGACGGAGCAACGCCGCGUGAGUGAUGAAGGUCUUCGGAUCGUAAAACUCUGUUAUGAGGGAAGAACAAACGUGUAAGUAACUGUGUACGUCUUGACGGUACCUAAUCAGAAAGCCACGGCUAACUACGUG
RNAcentral lists this ribosomal RNA (497 nucleotides) under uncultured bacterium. Its description in RNAcentral is "partial 16S ribosomal RNA". It matches the Rfam family "Bacterial small subunit ribosomal RNA", at positions 28 to 507 of the family's 1533-position model. The record is from RNAcentral.